RNAcentral lists this ribosomal RNA (253 nucleotides) under uncultured bacterium. Its description in RNAcentral is "partial 16S ribosomal RNA". It matches the Rfam family "Bacterial small subunit ribosomal RNA", at positions 524 to 776 of the family's 1533-position model. The record is from RNAcentral.
UACGUAGGGUGCAAGCGUUAUCCGGAAUGAUUGGGCGUAAAGCGUCCGCAGGUGGCAGUUCAAGUCUGCUGUCAAAGACCGGGGCUUAACUUCGGAAAGGCAGUGGAAACUGAACAGCUAGAGUAUGGUAGGGGCAGAGGGAAUUCCUGGUGUAGCGGUGAAAUGCGUAGAUAUCAGGAAGAACAUCGGUGGCGAAGGCGCUCUGCUGGACCAUAACUGACACUCAGGGACGAAAGCUAGGGGAGCGAAUGGG